Molecule: long non-coding RNA, 337 nt
Filed under: Carica papaya (papaya)
Lineage: Eukaryota; Viridiplantae; Streptophyta; Magnoliopsida; Brassicales; Caricaceae
Description: long non-coding RNA (CPAP_LNC009614)
Source: RNAcentral
UAAAAAAUGGGGACUAUUGGAUUUUUACCAAGUGGCAAAAUCUUGUGAAGAGAGAGAGAGGCAAAUGGGUGACUUGAUGCGACAUGAUGUUUGACGAACACAACUAAUGGAUGGUUGAUGCAAUGACGGUGACACAAAGACAUUAUGAAAAAUGAAAACACAUUAGACAAGGGACAGGCACGCCCCCCAAACGGUGAUGACAUGCCGACCAACUGGCAGCGCAUGCCCCACAUGGGAUGGCACAUACCCAAGCGCAUGCACAGGAUGCACGGAGCCGCGCGCCUCUCUACACCCAAUGUGACGUAGGCACACUGGGCACUUUGUGCCCCGUGCGGAU